UAGGGAUUUGGGAAAGCCUUUCAAUCUUCC
RNAcentral lists this non-coding RNA (30 nucleotides) under Rattus norvegicus (Norway rat). Lineage: Eukaryota; Metazoa; Chordata; Mammalia; Rodentia; Muridae. The record is from RNAcentral.